RNAcentral lists this ribosomal RNA (433 nucleotides) under uncultured bacterium. RNAcentral's name for it is "partial 16S ribosomal RNA". It matches the Rfam family "Bacterial small subunit ribosomal RNA", at positions 29 to 507 of the family's 1533-position model. The record is from RNAcentral.
AACGAACGCUGGCGGCAUGCCUAACACAUGCAAGUCGAACGAGACCUUCGGGUCUAGUGGCGCACGGGUGCGUAACGCGUGGGAACCUGCCCUUAGGUUCGGAAUAACUCCCCGAAAGGGGUGCUAAUACCAGAUAAUGUCUUCGGACCAAAGAUUUAUCGCCUUUGGAUGGGCCCGCGUUGGAUUAGCUAGUUGGUAGGGUAAAAGCCUACCAAGGCGACGAUCCAUAGCUGGUCUGAGAGGAUGAUCAGCCACACUGGGACUGAGACACGGCCCAGACUCCUACGGGAGACAGCAGUGGGGAAUAUUGGACAAUGGGCGAAAGCCUGAUCCAGCAAUGCCGCGUGAGUGAUGAAGGCCUUAGGGUUGUAAAGCUCUUUUACCCGGGAUGAUAAUGACAGUACCGGGAGAAUAAGCUCCGGCUAACUCCGUG